This 424-nucleotide ribosomal RNA is filed under the name uncultured bacterium. RNAcentral describes it as "bacterial SSU rRNA". It matches the Rfam family "Bacterial small subunit ribosomal RNA", at positions 355 to 776 of the family's 1533-position model. The record is from RNAcentral. RNAcentral also lists the same sequence under 1 other name.
UGAGGAAUAUUGGUCAAUGGACGAGAGUCUGAACCAGCCAAGUAGCGUGCAGGAUGACGGCCCUAUGGGUUGUAAACUGCUUUUAUAGGGGGAUAAAGUGUGCCACGUGUGGCAUAUUGCAGGUACCCUAUGAAUAAGGACCGGCUAAUUCCGUGCCAGCAGCCGCGGUAAUACGGAAGGUCCGGGCGUUAUCCGGAUUUAUUGGGUUUAAAGGGAGCGUAGGCCGUUUGGUAAGCGUGUUGUGAAAUGUCGGGGCUCAACCUGGGCAUUGCAGCGCGAACUGCCAGACUUGAGUGCGCAGGAAGUAGGCGGAAUUCGUCGUGUAGCGGUGAAAUGCUUAGAUAUGACGAAGAACUCCGAUUGCGAAGGCAGCCUGCUGUAGCGCAACUGACGCUGAAGCUCGAAAGCGUGGGUAUCGAACAGG